Cucurbita moschata (crookneck pumpkin) is the source of this 103-nucleotide small nuclear RNA. NCBI's taxonomy places the organism in Eukaryota, Viridiplantae, Streptophyta, Magnoliopsida, Cucurbitales, Cucurbitaceae. The record is from RefSeq and is a predicted model, not a curated record.
AUGUGGUUCGAAAAAUCCGAUAAAAUCGAAAUGAUAAAGAGAAGAUUAGCAUGACCCAUGUACAAGGAUGACGUACACAAAUCAAGAAAUUGUUUGAAUCAUG